Molecule: ribosomal RNA, 494 nt
Filed under: uncultured bacterium
Lineage: Bacteria
Description: partial 16S ribosomal RNA
Rfam family: Bacterial small subunit ribosomal RNA
Source: RNAcentral
GACGAACGCCGGCGGCGUGCUGAACAGAGGCAAGCAGAACGGUAAAGCGCUUACAAGUGUGGCGGGUGUGGAUGAGGGGCGAACGGGUGAGUAACACGUGAGGAACCUGCCUCCAUCUACUGGAUAACCGCAUGAAAGCGUGGCUAAGACGGGAUAUUCGGGGGCGGUUGCAAGAUGGGUCUGGGAGAGGUAUUGUCUCGGUGGGGGACGGGCUCGCGGCCUAUCAGCUGGUUGGUGGGGUGAUGGGGUACGAAGGCGGUGACGGGAAGCCGGCCUGAGAGGGUGGUCGGUCACACUGGGACUGAGACACGGCCCAGACUCCUGCGAGAGCCAGCAGUGGGGACUCUUGCACAAUGGGCGCAAGCCUGAUGCAGCGACGCCGCGUGCGGGAUGCAGGCCUUCGGGUUGUGAUCCUCUUUCGCCAGUGAAGCAGGCCUGCCUCGUCUGUGGGUGGGUUGACGGUAGCUGGAGAAGAAGCGACGGCUAACUACGUG